UUCAUGGAAAUAUUCAAGAAGAACACAAGUGCCCAGUGCUUGUUUGCUCUUGUGCUCAUGGCUACUGUCAUUUCGUCUUGUGAUGCGUUUGGCCCAGGUACAUGUAUCUCUGACCUAACUAUAAAUCACUGUGGUUUGCUAUGCAAUGCUAAUUUUUUAUGUAUUUCACAUAAUAUUGAGUUGUAUGAAUCUUACUGCAUCUGGCCGAUGCUGAAGCAUAGCUUGCCAUGUUGUUGUCUGGGUAUUCUUCUAAACAAUAUUGUUUUUGCGAACAUGCAGAAGGAGGGUGGUGCUUCAUGCCUUUCGUGAAAUGUGAUCUGGACUUGUGCAAGCGUAGCUGCAAAAGGUCUAACUCCCUAGUGCGAACAGAUACACGGAAUUUCUUCCCAAUGUUGUUGCUCUCCCAAGAAACUUAGUGCAUCUAUUGAUAAGAAUAGUCGUCCUUGAGAUGAAUUCCUAGAUAGUAAUUUAUAUGUCACUGGUCUUUCAUGGAUCCAAUCCGCCUGAUUGGAAAAAAAAUAUGGUGGUCGAAAAAUAAAAUUUAUCAGCAUUGAAAAAAUAUCGCUCCUGUGAUAUUUAUGCAUCGUGUGAAAUCGUAAUCCUUCAUUUGGUUGUUCAUAUUCAGACCUCGACAGUGAUAUUGAGACCAAUAUU
RNAcentral lists this long non-coding RNA (654 nucleotides) under Triticum aestivum (bread wheat). RNAcentral describes it as "long non-coding RNA (TAES_LNC002597)". The record is from RNAcentral. Lineage: Eukaryota; Viridiplantae; Streptophyta; Magnoliopsida; Poales; Poaceae.